Molecule: ribosomal RNA, 305 nt
Filed under: uncultured bacterium
Lineage: Bacteria
Description: bacterial SSU rRNA
Rfam family: Bacterial small subunit ribosomal RNA
Source: RNAcentral
CCCUACGGGGCGCAGCAGUAGGGAAUCUUCCACAAUGGGCGAAAGCCUGAUGGAGCAACGCCGCGUGGGUGAAGAGGGUCUUCGGAUCGUAAAACCCUGUUGUUAGAGAAGAAAGUGCGUGAGAGUAACUGUUCACGUUUCGACGGUAUCUAACCAGAAAGCCACGGCUAACUACGUGCCAGCAGCCGCGGUAAUACGUAGGUGGCAAGCGUUAUCCGGAUUUAUUGGGCGUAAAGGGAACGCAGGCGGUCUUUUAGGUCUGAUGUGAAAGCCUUCGGCUUAACCGGAGUAGUGCAUUGGAAACU